UGCAGUCGAGCGAACGGAUAAGGAGCUUGCUCCUUUGAAGUUAGCGGCGGACGGGUGAGUAACACGUGGGUAACCUACCUAUAAGACUGGGAUAACUUCGGGAAACCGGAGCUAAUACCGGAUAACAUUUAGAACCGCAUGGUUCUAAAGUGAAAGAUGGUUUUGCUAUCACUUAUAGAUGGACCCGCGCCGUAUUAGCUAGUUGGUAAGGUAACGGCUUACCAAGGCGACGAUACGUAGCCGACCUGAGAGGGUGAUCGGCCACACUGGAACUGAGACACGGUCCAGACUCCUACGGGAGGCAGCAGUAGGGAAUCUUCCGCAAUGGGCGAAAGCCUGACGGAGCAACGCCGCGUGAGUGAUGAAGGGUUUCGGCUCGUAAAACUCUGUUAUUAGGGAAGAACAAAUGUGUAAGUAACUGUGCACAUCUUGACGGUACCUAAUCAGAAAGCCACGGCUAACUACGUGCCAGCAGCCGCGGUAAUACGUAGGUGGCAAGCGUUAUCCGGAAUUAUUGGGCGUAAAGCGCGCGUAGGCGGUUUCUUAAGUCUGAUGUGAAAGCCCACGGCUCAACCGUGGAGGGUCAUUGGAAACUGGGAAACUUGAGUGCAGAAGAGGAAAGUGGAAUUCCAUGUGUAGCGGUGAAAUGCGCAGAGAUAUGGAGGAACACCAGUGGCGAAGGCGACUUUCUGGUCUGUAACUGACGCUGAUGUGCGAAAGCGUGGGGAUCAACAGGAUUAGAUACCCUGGUAGUCCACGCCGUACACGAUGAGUGCUAAGUGUUA
This 785-nucleotide ribosomal RNA is filed under the name Staphylococcus sp. X6-CRBM-E14. RNAcentral's name for it is "bacterial SSU rRNA". It matches the Rfam family "Bacterial small subunit ribosomal RNA", at positions 56 to 825 of the family's 1533-position model. Lineage: Bacteria; Bacillati; Bacillota; Bacilli; Caryophanales; Staphylococcaceae. The record is from RNAcentral.